AGUUUGGGAGCCUGGGAAGUACAAAAUCAAGGCGCCAGCAGAUUUCAGUGUCUGGAGAAAACCUGCUUCCUCAAAGGUCUUGAUGUUGGGAAGUAAAAGAUCAGAGUGCUGGCAGAUUUUGGUGUCUAGUAAAGGACAGAUUUCUAGUGUAUAGAUAACACCUUCUACCCAUGUCCUCACAUGGCGAAAAAGUGACUGUAAGUUUCCUGAGGCCUCCCCAGAAGCAGAAGCCUGUAUACUUGGCAGAAGUGUGCUUAUGGAAAUACUCAGCUUUCAUGAUGCUCUAAUGGCUUUGGCAGACACUGCCCCAACUUCUUCAGGUGGUUUUCUCCCUUAACAGGGAGACUGUUGUUCAGGUAGCAGGACUGGCAACUCAGUAUGUGGUUUGCUUAUAAACCUGUGAACACA
This 408-nucleotide long non-coding RNA is filed under the name Pongo abelii (Sumatran orangutan). RNAcentral's name for it is "lincRNA". Lineage: Eukaryota; Metazoa; Chordata; Mammalia; Primates; Hominidae. The record is from RNAcentral.